GCAGGAACAUUGAGAACAGCAGACACC
Molecule: non-coding RNA, 27 nt
Filed under: Cricetulus griseus (Chinese hamster)
Lineage: Eukaryota; Metazoa; Chordata; Mammalia; Rodentia; Cricetidae
Source: RNAcentral